AGUCACUGACAUUAGAUACCCCCGGUAGUCCCAGCCGUAAACAAUGUGCGUUAGGUAUGUCGGUAACCACGUGUUACUGAUGUGCCGAAGAGAAAUCGUGAAACGCACCACCUGGGAAGUGCGGUCGCAAGGCUGAAACUUAAAGGAAUUGCGGGGAGCACCACAACAGGUGGAGCCUGCGGUUUAAUUGGAUUCAACGCCGGACAUCUCACCGGAUAAGACGGCUGAAUGAUUGUCAAUCUGAAGGUUUUACAUGACUAGCUG
Molecule: ribosomal RNA, 264 nt
Filed under: uncultured archaeon
Lineage: Archaea
Description: partial 16S ribosomal RNA
Rfam family: Archaeal small subunit ribosomal RNA
Source: RNAcentral